GGAGGGGGCAAGCGUUGUUCGGAAUUAUUGGGCGUAAAGGGCGCGUAGGCGGCUGGGCAAGUCGAAGGUGAAAUCCCUCAGCUCAACUGAGGAACUGCCUCCGAAACUGCCUGGCUUGAGUCCCGGAGAGGGUAGCGGAAUUCCCAGUGUAGCGGUGAAAUGCGUAGAUAUUGGGGGGAACACCAGUGGCGAAGGCGGCUACCUGGACGGGUACUGACGCUGAGGCGCGAAAGCGUGGGGAGCAAACAGGAUUAGAUACCCUGGUAGUCCACGCUGUAAACGAUGGGCACUUGGUGUUGCGGGUAUCGACCCCUGCAGUGCCGAAGCUAACGCAUUAAGUGCCCCGCCUGGGGAGUACGGUCGCAAGGCUG
RNAcentral lists this ribosomal RNA (371 nucleotides) under uncultured organism. RNAcentral's name for it is "partial 16S ribosomal RNA". It matches the Rfam family "Bacterial small subunit ribosomal RNA", at positions 527 to 896 of the family's 1533-position model. The record is from RNAcentral.